UCAACAUCAACAAAGAUACUAUAUCGACCUUCUUUAAUUCUUGGUAAACCAAGUAUAAAAUCCAUGGAUAAAUCUAUUGGAAAAUUUGCAUUUUAUGAGAAUUUUGAGGCAUAUUUUCAAUAGGUAAAGGUGGAGAUUUGAAUCAUAAAAUUAUGGUUUCAUAUUCUACUCCAUGAGACAUUUACAACGAUAUUUCAUAUGCUCAAAAUGGUUGAGUGAUGAAUGAGAAAUUGAUGCUCAAAGUAAGCUACUUGGAAAUAUUUGUUGAGGAAAAGGAAAGGCUUAGAUCCC
This 291-nucleotide long non-coding RNA is filed under the name Gossypium barbadense (sea-island cotton). RNAcentral's name for it is "long non-coding RNA (GBAR_LNC017064)". The record is from RNAcentral. Lineage: Eukaryota; Viridiplantae; Streptophyta; Magnoliopsida; Malvales; Malvaceae.